GAUGAACGCUGGCGGCGUGCCUAAUACAUGCCAGUCGAGCGAACAGACGAGGAGCUUGCUCCUCUGACGUUAGCGGCGGACGGGUGAGUAACACGUGGAUAACCUACCUAUAAGACUGGGAUAACUUCGGGAAACCGGAGCUAAUACCGGAUAAUAUAUUGAACCGCAUGGUUCAAUAGUGAAAGACGGUUUUGCUGUCACUUAUAGAUGGAUCCGCGCCGCAUUAGCUAGUUGGUAAGGUAACGGCUUACCAAGGCAACGAUGCGUAGCCGACCUGAGAGGGUGAUCGGCCACACUGGAACUGAGACACGGUCCAGACUCCUACGGGAGGCAGCAGUAGGGAAUCUUCCGCAAUGGGCGAAAGCCUGACGGAGCAACGCCGCGUGAGUGAUGAAGGUCUUCGGAUCGUAAAACUCUGUUAUUAGGGAAGAACAAAUGUGUAAGUAACUAUGCACGUCUUGACGGUACCUAAUUAGAAAGCCACGGCUAACUACGUG
RNAcentral lists this ribosomal RNA (497 nucleotides) under uncultured bacterium. RNAcentral describes it as "partial 16S ribosomal RNA". It matches the Rfam family "Bacterial small subunit ribosomal RNA", at positions 28 to 507 of the family's 1533-position model. The record is from RNAcentral.